CAAGCCCCAAUAGUGAUCCCAAUUCCUUAUUUUACCUUACAACGUCAAUAGUUUUCCAACUUUCAAUUCGAAAUAUUUCUUGAUACAAUUUCCAAAAGUUGUUGAAAUCAAAUUGUUAGUGGAUUAAAUAGAAUUGGGGGGAAGGGAUUUCCGACAGACGAUCAUCUCGAAAGGUUAGUAAGUGUUUGUGUAAAAACGGGAUUUUUAUGUUGAUUGUUAGUUGUACUCAAUUUUAUUCUAAUCGAUUGUUGUGAAUAAUGUGAUUUAAUCCUCAGAAUUUAUUAUUAUUCCUUUUUCCCCAAAAAAAUGUUGUUUCUUGACGGUAUUCUUUCUUACCCAACAGCGAUAUUUCUUGACAAUGUCUCUCUUGAAUUUUUGAUUUGGUUGCUUAUGAUUUUCCCCUUGACUAAACCCUAAUUAUUAUCGCACCGUAGAUUUUUGUUUAUUUUGUUGCUUACAGAUAUUACAACCAUUGCUUUGGUUAGUGGAUUGUUGUUUAAUUUUGGCGUUUAUUUAUUUAUUGUUAUUAUUGUUUCCUUCUAAUUGUAUUUACGGAAUGUACGGAUUUUGUAUGUUUUAUUUCAAUUGAUUUUUAUUUUUCUUCUUCGUUAUUUGAUAUGUAUUUUUUUUUAAUGAUUAUUGAUAUUUUGACUUCUACUACUUAUGUAAAAAAUGAAAUUGAUUUUUGAUUUUCUGUGUUAUGUAUUUUAGAUAAAAAUAAAUAAAUAAAAAUUUUUUUUUUUUUGAUUUUGAAAUGGUUACCUUAUACUGUAAAAAAUUAGUUUCUUUUAUUUAUUUAAUUCACAACUUCAAUUAUCUAUUUCUGUUUGUGAAUAUGGGUCUGCGACCAAAGUAAUACAUUGUGUGGGACAUAUUAUGUGAAAUUAACUACUUCCAAUUCUCAUGGUAGGAAGUAAAAAAAAGCCAUUUGUUUGCUCAUUGUUGGGCCCACAAUAAUAUUUCAUAUUUGCUUCUAAAUAAUGUGCAGUGUGUUGUUCAGUCCAACACUUCUGGUUGCUGAUAAUCAAUCUUCAAAUCUAAUCUGCUCCCCACUUCAGCACUUACAGUUCUCCGUUAUGGCUGCUGUCGAUAACACUGUGCAGAGGAGCAUAAAGUUCAAAAUCACAUCAAAAGGAAUACGGCGUGAAUUAGAAGACAAGUCAAGUGGUGACAUGAUGAUGAUAGUGAAUAAUAAACGUAGAGAUGGAGUUAAUGGAAAUGGAAAAUCCAUUCCAGUCAAAUAUACGAAGUCAGGCAACUCUAACAAGCGUAAACCCGGAGUGAUCCUUGAGUGUCAUAGGGAGAAAAAGCAGAGGACAGAACAAAAUUUCAAGGAGCAGUAUAGUAAAAUUUUGAGAUCGUUGAUGAGGCACCCUCACGGGUUUGCUUUCAAUCAACCAAUUGAUCCUAUGAAGCUGAAGAUUCCAGAUUAUUUUUCAAUAAUCACUGAGCCAAUGGAUUUGGGAAAGAUCAAGUGUAAACUGGAGGAAAAUAGAUACUUUGAUGCAGAGGAAUUUGCUAGGGACGUGAGGCUGACUUUUUCCAAUGCAAUGGUGUACAAUCCUCCUGGGAACUAUGUCUAUAACUUCGCGAAAGAAUUAAAUGAUCUCUUCAGUAAGAGAUGGAAUUUAUUGAAGACUAAAUUGAAUGUGAUCGUCAAAGGAACAUCACUAGAGCUGGAAAGAGCAAUAAAGGUUUCUUUGGAAGUAACAGAAGGAAAGGUGAGUAAAUGUAAUGGUGUAUACAAUCUGGUUGUGUCUAUUGGUGUGAUGCUUUCUUCCUUUAUCAAUUUUGCACAGUACUGUUUUCUAAUUGUCACAAUGUUGUCAUGCACUUGCUUCGUUUGCUCUAUCCUUAGUUUGCUGCUCCUUGUUAGUGGUUACUAGACCUUUCUUUACAUAAAUUGUUGAUUCUGUAUGUUUUCCUGAACAGGCGAAGCCUUCGAGAACAGCACAAAGUGGGCGCCCCAAACUAGUGAAAACUUUUCAUAAAGGUUAGAGACGUGACAGAAUAAGUUUGUGCGUUCUGGUUCUUUACAUGACUGAUUGGCCAUGUAUCUUGUAUGCAGAUAAUGGAAAUCAAGCAUUUGCUACUUCCAAUAGAAAACAACCAUUUGAUUUCCCUGCAGUCAAAUGUGCUGCAUGUGGUAGUCUGACGUGCCAAUGCAGCCUCAGAUGUUCUGUUAAGCCAUCUUCCAAUGGUGAUUUAAAUUCUUAUAACAACUUGUUAAUAUGUUGCAUUUGUGUUCAUGUCAACUAAUUUGGAGUAUAUUGCAUCUUGUUUCAGAUUUUUCUUCAAAAAGAUUAUUUGAUCGUGAUCACUCCGAUGAUUCUAAACUGGUAAAUUUUAGACUCUUCUCGUUUCACCAAAUAAUUUAUUUUUUCAAAUAUAUGGUGUCACUUAUUGUUGAUCUUUCCCGUGUCUAUUUACAUCAGGAUGGUGGGGUUAAAUAUCCUUUGACAUCUCCAACAAGAGGAUUACAGCUUGAUUCAUAUGGUGAGAGCAAUAGCUGUUGCCUAUAUGUUUACAAUUGUGUAGCUUGUUUUUUGAUUAUUUGAGCUUUGACAUGCUAUUGUCAAUGAAUUGUAGGGCAUGAAUGUGUUCCCAAUGAAGACAAUUCUCAGCAAAAAGUCUCUUCCCCAGCAACAACUGCUGCCAUUGAUAAAGGUAACUAUGAUCUAGAAAUGGAAAUGCAUUUUUGGGAUUAACCUUUUACUCCCACUGGCACACCCAGACAUGCAUAUAUCAGUUCUGCAUGUAAGAAAAUGAUUUGCUUUUCCUCUGCAAAUUCCAAGAUCAAAACUACUGAAGUAUCAUUCAUAGCUUGGAAAUAUGGAGAUUUGAUUUAUAUAUGCCUUUGUUUUAGGAUGGACUUCACCUGUUAAUAUGCCGCCAAACAAGGUUUUGCGUGCUUCCAUGCUAAAAAGCCGCUUUGCAGAUACUAUCUCCAGAGCUAGACAUCAUACUCUCCUGGAUCAUGUAAUAAUUUCUUAUUGCUUGCAAAAAUUUGGCAUACAUACUAGGUUGGUCGAGCUCUUCGUUUUGUGGAUAUACUAAUCUCUGUCUCUGUUGAUUUCUAUUUAGGGCAAGAAGAUUAAUCCUGUGAGUAGGCAAAAAGAAAGGGAAAGACUGGAAAGGCAGCAGUGUGAAGGUAUCUUAGCAUAUCCUUGAUCCAAUAUUUUGGUGUACUGUAAUAUUUUCGUGUUAAAAUGUUGCCUUCCUAUGGAACUUUUAGUGUAAUAUUUGCCAUUUUGGGCUAGUGUUGUCUUGUAUUGAAAUUCUCUUUCUUGAUGAUCAGUAGAUGUGACACAAGGCAUGUGGCUGAAAAUAAAGUUUAAAUUAUAUAGACUCUUGUGUGAACUGUGAAACUAUUCUGGUUUGUGAAUUAAAAACGAGACAUGAAUUUUCAUUUAGAUAUCUGAUUGUCAUUCUUUUCUUUUACGGUAUAAGUAUUUCAUUAGUAUUUCUCUUCAUUUGGGAAUAUUUUGUUUACACUGGAUGUUUGACCUUCUGCAGAGAAGGCUAGGAUUGCAACUGCUGUAGCAGCCUCCCGAAUGAGGUUGGAGACAGAGUUGAAGAUGCAACGUGAGAGGGAAAGAAAAGCAGCCAGAAUUGCAUUAGAAAAGGUCCCUUUUUAAAUUCAUUUUUGUAUUCCUUGAUCCUGUGUGAUUCCUGUUAUGAUUUGCCUCAUUGAUACUAAAGAAAUUUAAAUUUACUGACGUUUGUUUCACUCUAAUUUAGAUGGGAAAAACAGUCUAUUUCAACGAGAAUAGAGAUAUUAUGGAGUUUGAAGCAAUAAUUGGAGGCAUCAGCAUUGGUAACUUGAGAAACUCUCUGGAACAGCUUGGGUUAUACAUAAAGGAUGAUUGCAUGGAAAAUGAUGAAGUGGAGGCAAUUCUGCAAGGAGAAGAGGGGGAAAUUCUUUCGUAAUCCUAGCUGCAUAUAUGUGUAGUUUUGAGGUGUUAAUUGUAAAUUAGUAUUCAUUUUGUGGGCUGUUAGGGAACGAAAGGCAAGAUCUCUAAUUAGUCAAUCAAACAUUGUAAGUACAACUAGUGCAUAUUUUUUGUAGAUGCAGUCCAACAAAGAUUCAGUACAACUUGUGAAUAAUUUUUUGUGUAUUUAGAAUUUGUCUUGUAAAUCCGUAUGUCCAGCGUGGUGCUGCCAUUGGAUUGAAAAAGCAAUGUUAUGCCCGUAGGAUGGUAGCAAUUUACUUUUUAUUAUUUUUUAUUUUUUUUACAAUUUUUUUACAAUUUAUUUAUUUAUUUAUUUAUUAUUUUUUUUUUCCGGAUCAAAUUGCUCGUUUGAGCUUAAG
This 4312-nucleotide long non-coding RNA is filed under the name Olea europaea subsp. europaea. Lineage: Eukaryota; Viridiplantae; Streptophyta; Magnoliopsida; Lamiales; Oleaceae. The record is from RNAcentral.